Molecule: long non-coding RNA, 236 nt
Filed under: Gossypium barbadense (sea-island cotton)
Lineage: Eukaryota; Viridiplantae; Streptophyta; Magnoliopsida; Malvales; Malvaceae
Description: long non-coding RNA (GBAR_LNC005526)
Source: RNAcentral
GGAGAUUAAGGUGUUUGAAUCAAAGAUUGAAUUUUUACUUGUUGUUUGUGAGUUUUCUAAUGUAUUUCCAAAAGAAUUACCGAUUUGCCACUGAUAAGAGAGGUUGAAUUUGGUAUUGAAUUAGUACCGAGAACAACACCAAUAUCGAUAGCUCCAUACAAAAUGACUCCAACAGAAUUAAAAGAAUUGAAAGCUCAGUUGCAAGAACUGAUAGACAAAGGUUUUGCAUGACCGAG